This is a long non-coding RNA of Pan paniscus (pygmy chimpanzee), 890 nucleotides long. The record is from Ensembl. NCBI's taxonomy places the organism in Eukaryota, Metazoa, Chordata, Mammalia, Primates, Hominidae.
GGAAAAGUGGAACUUUGCAGUGAAAAGAAGCUGAAGAUAAGAGCAAAGAAGUUUAAGAAGGAGGAAUUGGUGGAGGAAGAACAUGAACGUAAGGCAGGGUGUGAGUACAGGAAUAAGGAAAGUGGUCACAGGACACACUCUCCCUUGAAAGCAUACCAUACGGUUUGGUGCUCUUAUCAAUAUACCCUGGUGUCUCCAUACCCAUACUGUGUAGAAGAAGAAACCUUGGACCUUGUUUAUAGAGGAAGACUCCAUACAGGCAAGGUUGGGAUCCCUUGAAGAGUGUCACUGUGCAUUGGACCCUGGCACAAGAAGCUGUGGCAGACACUGUUAGUUACCUAGAUAAAAUCCAUACCUGUUACAUUGCAUCUCUUCCCUGCUAAAAAAUCCUGCUUUCGUUCAGACAUUGAACACCCAUUUGCCUACUUCUGGCCCCACACAGAAGGUAAAAUGUAAAUUAACCUAAGUCACUCAGGGUCAUCUCAUCUCCUUUAUCAGUGAUGUUUUGUUAAACACUCUUUUUUCCCCUUAGACAUUAUCAUGUGUGACGAGCGGCUUACAUGGUCGUUUAUGUUGUUCAGCCAGGUUGCUGCUAUGAAGGGAAAGUCCACAAGAACCACAGAGAACUCAACCUGAAUACCUGACAACACCAAGCCAUUGAAUUCAUCACUCCUAUAACUGCCUUAUUCUGGGCUUCUUACCACGCAAUGUAGUAUUAUACCAUAUCCUUGUUUAGUUGGAUUUUCUGUUACAUGUUCCUGAAAUCACCCCACUUGAUGGAAAUGUGAAGGCAACAGAAAGCCAUAGAUUUUCCAUGUCCUCAUUACAUUGUCCAGAGGCAGACAGUACCUGGGGGCCUCUCAGUGAGGCUUUACUGUCUCAAAAAUGCC